AUUGAACGCUGGCGGCAUGCCUUACACAUGCAAGUCGGACGGCAGCACGGGUGCUUGCACCUGGUGGCGAGUGGCGAACGGGUGAGUAAUACAUUGGAACGUACCUUAUCGUGGGGGAUAACGCAGCGAAAGCUGUGCUAAUACCGCAUACGCCCUGAGGGGGAAAGCGGGGGAUCGAAAGACCUCGCGCGAUUAGAGCGGCCGAUGCCUGAUUAGCUUGUUGGUGGGGUAAAAGCCCACCAAGGCGACGAUCAGUAGCUGGUCUGAGAGGACGAUCAGCCACACUGGGACUGAGACACGGCCCAGACUCCUACGGGAGGCAGCAGUGGGGAAUUUUGGACAAUGGGGGCAACCCUGAUCCAGCAAGGCCGCGUGAGUGAAGAAGGCCUUCGGGUUGUAAAGCUCUUUUGUCAGGGAAGGAACACCGGUUCUAACACAGUCCGGGAAUGACGGUACCUGAAGAAUAAGCACCGGCUAACUACGUGCCAGCCGCCGCGGUAA
RNAcentral lists this ribosomal RNA (501 nucleotides) under uncultured bacterium. RNAcentral describes it as "partial 16S ribosomal RNA". It matches the Rfam family "Bacterial small subunit ribosomal RNA", at positions 29 to 523 of the family's 1533-position model. The record is from RNAcentral.